UUUCCGUCUUCCAGGUGUCGUUGGAGAACGUCGAGGAGGAGCCCGCGAUAUUUCGUCCGAAGUGGUUCGAGAGGACCCCGUCGAUUUUCAAAAGGCCGAUCAACUUCGCCGGAAACGCGCCACUUUCACUCGACUUCCCCGACGACGAGGAGGAUCGGAAUCGACCGUAACCGACGAAAUAAUACGCAUCGCGACUACGAUGAAAGUCGACGACGACGACGACGACGACGACGACCCUCGUUGAAACUUCGGAUCCCGGACUACUUCGAGACGCCCGGAGGCUUCACGAACACCGUUGCACGUGCCCGGAUGUUCUUGCUUUUCAUUCCCUCCUCUUCUGCGGCAUUAUCGUCGUCGUCGUCGUCGUCGUUGUCGUCGCGCAUGAGGCUGCGAGAAACGCC
RNAcentral lists this unclassified non-coding RNA (401 nucleotides) under Athalia rosae (coleseed sawfly). RNAcentral's name for it is "misc RNA ENSAEAG00005008250.1". Lineage: Eukaryota; Metazoa; Arthropoda; Insecta; Hymenoptera; Athaliidae. The record is from RNAcentral.